GUUCUCACAAUUUUCUUUUCUUUCUACAAUAGUAGUGAGUGCUUUCAGCUGCAGAGUGAAUUUUUUAGUUUUAAAUCAUGGAAUCUAGAAAUGGGUACACAUAUGCUCUCAAAUUCAAUCUUUGAACUCUAUUAACUAUAGAUAAUAAACAAGCAAAAGAAUAGACAAAAAAGAUGUC
This is a long non-coding RNA of Perognathus longimembris pacificus (Pacific pocket mouse), 178 nucleotides long. RefSeq lists it as uncharacterized. The record is from RefSeq and is a predicted model, not a curated record. Lineage: Eukaryota; Metazoa; Chordata; Mammalia; Rodentia; Heteromyidae. The transcript has 2 exons.